Telopea speciosissima is the source of this 448-nucleotide long non-coding RNA. RefSeq lists it as uncharacterized. The transcript is spliced from 3 exons. The record is from RefSeq and is a predicted model, not a curated record. Lineage: Eukaryota; Viridiplantae; Streptophyta; Magnoliopsida; Proteales; Proteaceae.
GAAGAACUUCUGAUUUCAGGAGUUUCAGAAUUUCUAGUUUCUCUAGGAAUCCUAGUCUCACUGGGAAUCCUAUUCCUACUUUAAUAGGGAGUUCUAUUUUAAGUAGAGUUCUGUUUUCAGUUUCUUUUCCUAUUUUGAUUGUGUUUAUGUGUCCUAGUUCAGGCUGGAUUAGGAAUCUAUAAAUCCAGUCCUGUUAUGAGUUGAUUUUCUUUUAUUAUGUAAGACCCUAGUUGGUUUAGGACUCCAAAAACAUCUGGAGGUUCUUGAGUCAGUUUAGGAGUUGUUUCAAGUGUUUUAUUGGUCAAUUAAGUAACCAAUUUAAUUACUAGUUGGUUUAGGCCACUUUAGUCAUGUUAUGAGUCAUAUUUGGAGAGUUUAUAUAUACGUUUGUAACCAGCCAUUAAGGCAUAUGGAUUUUAUUAUGAAUAAAGUUUGUACUUUUUUAACC